This 426-nucleotide ribosomal RNA is filed under the name uncultured bacterium. RNAcentral's name for it is "bacterial SSU rRNA". It matches the Rfam family "Bacterial small subunit ribosomal RNA", at positions 354 to 796 of the family's 1533-position model. The record is from RNAcentral.
GUAGGGAAUAUUGCACAAUGGGCGAAAGCCUGAUGCAGCAACGCCGCGUGCGCGAUGAAGGCCUUCGGGUCGUAAAGCGCUUUUCGGGGAGAUGAGGAAGGACAGUAUCCCCGGAAUAAGGAUCGGCUAACUACGUGCCAGCAGCCGCGGUAAAACGUAGGAUCCGAGCGUUAUCCGAAUUCACUGGGCGUAAAGCGCGUGCAGGCGGUCCGGUAAGUUGGAUGUGAAAUCUCCUGGCUCAACUGGGAGAGGACGUUCAAUACUGUCGGACUCGAGGACGGUAGAGGGAGGUAGAAUUCCCGGUGUAGUGGUGAAAUGCGUAGAUAUCGGGAGGAAUACCAGUGGCGAAGGCGGCCUCCUGGACCGUUCCUGACGCUCAGACGCGAAAGCUAGGGGAGCAAACGGGAUUAGAAACCCCAGUAGUCC